This 330-nucleotide ribosomal RNA is filed under the name uncultured Enterobacteriaceae bacterium. RNAcentral describes it as "bacterial SSU rRNA". It matches the Rfam family "Bacterial small subunit ribosomal RNA", at positions 32 to 358 of the family's 1533-position model. Lineage: Bacteria; Pseudomonadati; Pseudomonadota; Gammaproteobacteria; Enterobacterales; Enterobacteriaceae. The record is from RNAcentral.
AACGCUGUUCGCAGGCCUAACACAUGCAAGUCGAACGGUAACAGGAAGAAGCUUGCUUCUUUGCUGCCCAGUGGCGGACGGGUGAGUAAUGUCUGGGAAACUGCCUGAUGGAGGGGGAUAACUACUGGAAACGGUAGCUAAUACCGCAUAACGUCGCAAGACCAAAGAGGGGGACCUUCGGGCCUCUUGCCAUCGGAUGUGCCCAGAUGGGAUUAGCUAGUAGGUGGGGUAACGGCUCACCUAGGCGACGAUCCCUAGCUGGUCUGAGAGGAUGACCAGCCACACUGGAACUGAGACACGGUCCAGACUCCUACGGGAGGCAGCAGUGGG